Molecule: long non-coding RNA, 217 nt
Filed under: Mytilus galloprovincialis (Mediterranean mussel)
Lineage: Eukaryota; Metazoa; Mollusca; Bivalvia; Mytilida; Mytilidae
Source: RNAcentral
GCUGUUUUUGGUUAUUAUCUUGAAUAUUAUUAUAGAUAGAGAUAAACUGUAAACAGCAAUAAUGUUCAGCAAAGUAAGAUUUACAAAUAAGUCAACAUGACGGAAAUGGUCAGUUGACCCCUUUAGGAGUUAUUGCCCUUUAUAGUCAAUUUUUAACCAUUUUUCGUAAAUCUUAGUAAUCUUUUACAAACAUCUUCUCCUCUGAAACUACUGGGCC